AGAGUUUGAUCCUGGCUCAGAAUCAACGCUGGCGGCGUGCCUAACACAUGCAAGUCGAACGAGAAAGCGGGGGCAACCCCGUGAGUAAAGUGGCGAACGGGUGAGUAACACGUGACUAACCUGCCCUGAAGUGGGGGAUACCCUCGGGAAACCGAGGCUAAUACCGCAUAACCUCGCCGGGUGAAAUUCCUGGUGAGCAAAGCCGCAAGGCGCUUUUGGAGGGGGUCGCGGCCGAUUAGCUAGUUGGUGAGGUAACGGCUCACCAAGGCGAUGAUCGGUAUCCGGCCUGAGAGGGCGCACGGACACACUGGAACUGAAACACGGUCCAGACUCCUACGGGAGGCAGCAGUGGGGAAUUUUGCGCAAUGGGGGAAACCCUGACGCAGCAACGCCGCGUGGAGGAUGAAGGUCUUUGGAUUGUAAACUCCUUUC
RNAcentral lists this ribosomal RNA (432 nucleotides) under uncultured bacterium. RNAcentral's name for it is "bacterial SSU rRNA". It matches the Rfam family "Bacterial small subunit ribosomal RNA", at positions 8 to 437 of the family's 1533-position model. The record is from RNAcentral.